Molecule: non-coding RNA, 106 nt
Organism: Phaseolus vulgaris (common bean)
Lineage: Eukaryota; Viridiplantae; Streptophyta; Magnoliopsida; Fabales; Fabaceae
Source: Rfam
AACCCAUGAUUUGGGCAUUUUCUCAGCAUCAUUUGGAACCUCUCCCAUGUCUCAUAGAAAGAUUCAUUUUCUCCUUGUCUGAACAUAGAGAUUUCAGACUUUGCUU